This 63-nucleotide ribosomal RNA is filed under the name Trebouxia sp. 16 GS-2016. Its description in RNAcentral is "partial large subunit ribosomal RNA". It matches the Rfam family "Eukaryotic large subunit ribosomal RNA", at positions 1 to 60 of the family's 3401-position model. The record is from RNAcentral. Lineage: Eukaryota; Viridiplantae; Chlorophyta; Trebouxiophyceae; Trebouxiales; Trebouxiaceae.
UUUCGACCUGAGGUCAGGCAAGAACACCCGCUGAACUUAAGCAUAUCAAUAAGCGGAGGAAAA